Ornithodoros turicata is the source of this 1374-nucleotide long non-coding RNA. RefSeq lists it as uncharacterized. NCBI's taxonomy places the organism in Eukaryota, Metazoa, Arthropoda, Arachnida, Ixodida, Argasidae. The record is from RefSeq and is a predicted model, not a curated record. The transcript has 3 exons.
CACCUAUCCGUAGCCCGUAGCCCAUGCAAGCCGGCAAGAGCCCGUGCAAUCCUUUCGUAGCGUUUUCGGCGUUUUUGAUAUCGUUUUACGGCCAGGUUAUUUCAAUGGAAGUGUGAUUCCAACGUUUCAUGUUGCGUGAUCAUUUCGGACACUUACAUCUUGACCGAUAUUAGCGGCAGAUGACACUGCACAUGCAGACAUGGAGGAAGACUUCUAUUACUACAUGGUCUUGGUACCAGUGACCAUACCAGUGGCUUUAUUUUUCUACUUUUGGGGUUGGAUGGGAUAUCAGGCUGUUAUAAAUAAUUGAUGCGGCGUUAUAUGCGCAGAAUCGUGUGCUUCAGCAACACUCAAACUAUCCAACACAGAAUUGCCAAUAUUGCUUCUGUUGCUGAAUCAACGGCCAUGGCAGGCAAGCCUUCAGUAGCAACAUCAUCCCCAGUGACUGCUACGUGUUCCUCAUGAGGCCCGUCAUCUUCAUCAGGACCAAGGACUUGGGCUACAGCAUCGGCAAGCGUGCUUGGAACUAAGGACCUCGAAGAUUCCAGAGGACUGUCUGUAUUUCCUACUGUACACAAAAAUGGGCCAGCAGGUGUCUCCUGGACAUCAGUGGUCUUGGAGAGACUCUGGUCUGACAACUGCAAGUUUUGGUGCACAUCAGUGCUGUCAUUUGUGGGAUCUGUAUCUGAAGGCAGUAUAGGCACUAGUGGUUGAGGCUGCAGUGGUGUCUUUCGUGGCCUGCCCGGCCUGCGCUUCACAGGAGCAUCCGCAGUGCCUCCUGCUACGUCAGGUACAGCAGCGGCACCAAGUUGGGAGGUAAAAAGAAGGUUGCCAACUGUGCUGUUGUCCAUCGAGAGGAUAACAGACUGCGGUGGCAAGAUCGAGUCCAGCUGAAGAAGUUGCUGCUGUGUACACUGCGGCAUGCCUGCUUGCAAACACACAGAAUAAUAGGUCACAGCACACACAGUAAAAAAGUAACAUUAUUAUAUAACAGGUUAAGAAAGCAGUGAUGCGAAUGACUUAUGUAAACCAGGCCGAGAAGCAUAAUGUAAAAAAUACUAGUAGAAGUAAGUAUCAUGUAACCUGUGGCAAGGCCCUGAGAGAAUAAUUUUGCUCAAAUUUUCUUUCCCCAGCAAGCCUCAACGAACGUUGCUCAUCAGUGAAAGGAUGGGCUCCGCAACCUUAGCUCGAGGGCUUUAUCUUCCGGCAUCCCUGUGCCCACUUGCUUAACCACGUGUACACAUCUUACUCUUUGUGCUGGUAUUCUCUCGGGGCUCUGUGAUAUUACUUUAUAAUGAUAUACCACACGACACAAACAAAUGAGAAUGACAUAAAAGGAACCUAAAAUGCAGAUUAAAUGCAGACUAAAAUGCA